GUGUCAGCCGCCGCGGUAAUACAGAGGGGGCAAGCGUUGUCCGGAAUUACUGGGCGUAAAGCGUACGCAGGUGGCCGUGCAAGUGUGAUGUGAAAGCCCCGCGCUUAACGCGGGGAGGCCAUUACAGACUGCAUAGCUCGAGGGAUGCAGAGGGUCGUGGAAUUGCCGGUGUAGUGGUGAAAUGCGUAGAGAUCGGCAGGAACACCAAGGACGAAGGUAGCGACCUGGGCAUCUCCUGACACUCAUGUACGACAGCGUGGGGAGCGAACCGGAUUAGAAACCCGUGUAGUCC
This 292-nucleotide ribosomal RNA is filed under the name uncultured bacterium. RNAcentral describes it as "partial 16S ribosomal RNA". It matches the Rfam family "Bacterial small subunit ribosomal RNA", at positions 505 to 796 of the family's 1533-position model. The record is from RNAcentral.